AGUAGAUUGUGUGUGUGUUUGCUCAGCUGGUGGACAAAAGACAUGGAAGACAGGUGCAAAAAUAAAUCCUCUUUUGCAACCUAGAAUACAUUCUUCAAUAUGAGCAUUGAUACACUCAAGAAGGAAUAUG
This is a small nucleolar RNA of Nannospalax galili (Upper Galilee mountains blind mole rat), 130 nucleotides long. The record is from Ensembl. NCBI's taxonomy places the organism in Eukaryota, Metazoa, Chordata, Mammalia, Rodentia, Spalacidae.